Molecule: non-coding RNA, 47 nt
Organism: Thalassiosira oceanica
Lineage: Eukaryota; Bacillariophyta; Thalassiosirophyceae; Thalassiosirales; Thalassiosiraceae
Source: Rfam
CAACAGGAUUUUCUAAAAUCCGCCCCACAUUCGAAGAUUAUUGACAU